Molecule: transfer RNA, 77 nt
Filed under: Desulfobaculum bizertense
Lineage: Bacteria; Pseudomonadati; Thermodesulfobacteriota; Desulfovibrionia; Desulfovibrionales; Desulfovibrionaceae
Also listed under: 2 other names
Description: Paradesulfovibrio bizertensis tRNA-Met
Rfam family: tRNA
About the family: Transfer RNA (tRNA) molecules are approximately 80 nucleotides in length. Their secondary structure includes four short double-helical elements and three loops (D, anti-codon, and T loops). Further hydrogen bonds mediate the characteristic L-shaped molecular structure. tRNAs have two regions of fundamental functional importance: the anti-codon, which is responsible for specific mRNA codon recognition, and the 3' end, to which the tRNAs corresponding amino acid is attached (by aminoacyl-tRNA synthetases). tRNAs cope with the degeneracy of the genetic code in two manners: having more than one tRNA (with a specific anti-codon) for a particular amino acid; and 'wobble' base-pairing, i.e. permitting non-standard base-pairing at the 3rd anti-codon position.
Source: RNAcentral
UGCGGGGUGGAGCAGCACGGUAGCUCGUCGGGCUCAUAACCCGAAGGCCAGGGGUUCAAAUCCUCUCCCCGCUACCA